This 501-nucleotide ribosomal RNA is filed under the name uncultured bacterium. RNAcentral's name for it is "bacterial SSU rRNA". It matches the Rfam family "Bacterial small subunit ribosomal RNA", at positions 28 to 521 of the family's 1533-position model. The record is from RNAcentral.
GACGAACGCUGGCGGCGUGGAUUAGGCAUGCAAGUCGAACGGUAUCAUCCUUUCGGGGGUGAGAGAGUGGCGAACUGGUGAGUAACACGUAGGUUAUCUACCCUCAAGACGGGGACAACCCAGGGAAACUUGGGCUAAUACCGGAUGUGAGCAACUUUUAGUUGUUUGAAAGGUGGCGUAAGCUGUCGCUUGGGGAUGAGCCUGCGUCCUAUUAGUUAGUUGGUGAGGUAACGGCUCACCUAGGCAAUGAUAGGUAGGCGGCCUUAACGGGUGGUCGCCCACACUGGGAUUGAGAUACGGCCCAGACUCCUACGGGAGGCAGCAGUCGAGAAUAGUCUACAAUGGUCGGAAGACUGAUAGUGCGACGCCGCGUGAACGAUGAAUCCCUUCGGGGUGUAAAGUUCUUUUAUAUGUGAGCAGUGCUUCUUAUAUUAACAGUAUGGGGAGAGAGAUAUUAGCAUAUGAAUAAGCAACGGCUAACUCCGUGGCAGCAGCCGCGGU